RNAcentral lists this long non-coding RNA (556 nucleotides) under Cyanistes caeruleus (blue tit). Its description in RNAcentral is "lncRNA (ENSCCEG00000019419.1)". Lineage: Eukaryota; Metazoa; Chordata; Aves; Passeriformes; Paridae. The record is from RNAcentral.
GCUGUUUUGAGCCUUGGCUUGCUUCAUCUGAGAAGAUGAACCCUGUCAGGCCAUUACAACUGCAUGGAGUGGGACUCCUUCAUUCUUUUCUGUUGGCAUUGACCACAUACUAAUAAUAAUAUAUUUGUAGGGGAAGGUAUAAUGGAAGGAAGGAGGAGAGUACCUAUAGCCCUGUGAUCAGUGAGCUUUCCUGGGCCAGGGUAGUAGGCUGAAGUUCAGGUACAUAGUCCAAAUCAAGCAAAACAGGAACUGGGACUGGGCUGCAAGGUAGCAGCUAUGCUGAUUGUUGGCUCCACUGAAGUAGAUAGAUAGUUUGAGAAUCAUCCUACCUAUUGCCUGCCUGAACCAAGAACCAGAUCCUAGAGAAGGACUGUGCCAUACUAGCUGGUUGCAGAUCUCAUGGGAUCCUAAUAUUGAGAGAGAUCUAACAGAAAUGAAAUCCAGGACCGUGCCAAUGACCAACACUGCUCGCAGGCAGCUUCAGAUUGCUGAGUAAGAUCAGGGUGAGAGUGGAACCCUACAGAGCACAAAAAAUAAAUGCUCUGGGAGAAGGACA